CUGGACUACAACUCCACCCAGAACUACAUUCCCCAUGAGCGCCGCGCGCCGCGAGGAGCAUCGAUAAACUCUCUUCAACACACAAACCAGCCCAAUAAUCGCAAAUAGCCAUACUCUGGGCACUCAUCUGCAGGCUGGAGGCACAGAGAAGCUCUUCUUCUGCUCGGGGAACAUCGAGUGUCUGGUGGAGAGCUGGACGUCGGAUCUAUAACAUGCAUCAAGCAUCCUCUAGCACUUAUAAGCCAGCUGUUGUCAACAAUAGAAUUUGGCUGAUGUUCAGAUGUGAGAGCCACUGUCACAAGUUAAGGGUGGGUGGAACGACCCUCCAGCUGUACGCGCAGGACAAUUACAAAAAAAAGUCACAGCGCUGGUGAUGGGUUUCCCAGCAGAGGAUCUCGGUCCUCAGGAUCGAGUCCAGGUGCCGCCCGGAGCCCCUCAGGAGCCCAGCAUACAGCAAACGAAGCACAAACUGGACGAUGCCUCCAAGCGUCUGGUGACUGUGUGACAAGCUGCGAGACCAAGCGCAGGCCUUGCUCAUCACACAACAAGCAGAACGACUUUCUGUGAGGAUUUAUUCAUAAAUAUUAUUGCAUAAAUUGCAUUGAAUUGAAUGCAAUGGUUUGCCUAAAAACAGGCCUUAAAACAAGCAGAACCAAUUUUUGUGAAUUAUUGCAUUCAGGUCGAAGCGAGAAUACCAUGCAUAAUUGUUAAUGCAUAAUUGUGUUGCAUUAAAUGAAGCAAUUUGUAAAAUUUUAUUAAUAUUUUGGGAUUCAACUUUAUAAUUGUUCAUUAUUUUUUUUUGCAUAAAUUGCAUUGAAUAAAAUAGACCUUAAACCAAGCAGAACUUAUUUGUGCUAACUGUUACAUUUAAUUCAGUGUGAAAAUGUAAGAACUGUGUAAUGAAAUGCAUGCAGAAAGACUUCUUCAAUAAUUGUUGGUAAAACCAUUGUGUUGCAUUGGAUGCACAGGUUUGUAUAAAAAAGGCCUUAUAACAAGCAAAAUAAAUUUGUACAAAUCAUUUGUUAAAUAAUUACUGUAUGUAAUUGUUACAUUUAACUCAAUGUAAGAAUCUACUCAAGCAGAACAACUUUCUGUGCAUAAUUGUUCAUAAAAAAAGUUUAAUAAAAAAAAGUUUACCUAAAAA
Carassius auratus (goldfish) is the source of this 1144-nucleotide long non-coding RNA. RefSeq lists it as uncharacterized. The record is from RefSeq and is a predicted model, not a curated record. NCBI's taxonomy places the organism in Eukaryota, Metazoa, Chordata, Actinopteri, Cypriniformes, Cyprinidae. The transcript has 7 exons.